AUUGAACGCUAGCGGCAGGCUUAACACAUGCAAGUCGAACGAGUGGCGGACGGGUGAGUAAUGUUUGGGAACCUGGCCUAUGGCGGGGGAUAACUACGGGAAACUGUGGCUAAUACCGCGUACCAUUGGAUCGGCCCAAGUGGGAUUAGGUAGUUGGUGGGGUAAAGGCUCACCAAGGCGACGAUCCCUAGCUGGUGUGAGAGGAGGACCAGCCACACUGGGACGGAGACACGGCCCGGACUCCUACGGGAGGCAGCAGUGGGGAAUAUUGGGCAAUGGGGGCAACCCUGAGCCAGCCAUCCCGCGUGUAUGAAGAAGGCCUUCGGGUUGUAAAGUACUUUUGGCAGAGAAGCGGUAUCUGCAGAAUAAGCACCGGCUAACUACGUGCCAGCAGCCGCGGUAAUUC
RNAcentral lists this ribosomal RNA (406 nucleotides) under uncultured bacterium. RNAcentral's name for it is "partial 16S ribosomal RNA". It matches the Rfam family "Bacterial small subunit ribosomal RNA", at positions 30 to 526 of the family's 1533-position model. The record is from RNAcentral.